UCCGUGCUGUGUGAUUGCGACGAGGGGACCGCCGCCAGCAGCAGCGUAUCGCCCAUUUCGUCUUUGCCGACAUCGAACAAGUGCAGCUCGCCGGACCGUCACAAGCGCCCGAAGUGCUGCGGUUUGCACUGCAUCUUUCAUUGUGAUAUGGGAGAUCGCAACGGACAGAGACGACCAGAUGCAUACGAACCACUACCAGCGGGGACCUGUGACCUGUGCCGUAUUUCUCUUAACGUCUCAGAUAAGCAUAUCAGCUUUUGUUCCGAGUUUACAAACGGUAUGCAAGAAAUGACAGCAGCCAGAAGUCGCCAUCUUAUCCAGCACAACUGAUAGGUACACUCUGGUGGCUCCUACCCCUGCGUCCUACCACCACCCUGUCCUGAGUACGUCCACUAGGGAGUUGGGAGCCUUUGGUGGCUUCUGCCACUGCAUCCUGCCGCCACCAUGUCCCGACUACGUCCACUAGGGAGUUGGCAGCCUUAGUGAUGAUGCCAGCAGGCUGA
This is a long non-coding RNA of Dermacentor albipictus, 503 nucleotides long. RefSeq lists it as uncharacterized. Lineage: Eukaryota; Metazoa; Arthropoda; Arachnida; Ixodida; Ixodidae. The record is from RefSeq and is a predicted model, not a curated record.